CUACGGAGGGUGCGAGCGUUAAUCGGAAUUACUGGGCGUAAAGCGUGCGUAGGCGGUUUGUUAAGUCAGAUGUGAAAGCCCUGGGCUCAACCUGGGAACUGCAUUUGAUACUGGCAGACUAGAGUAUGAUAGAGGGGGGUAGAAUUCCUGGUGUAGCGGUGAAAUGCGUAGAUAUCAGGAGGAAUACCAGUGGCGAAGGCGGCCCCCUGGAUCAAUACUGACGCUGAGGUACGAAAGCGUGGGGAGCGAACAGGAUUAGAAACCCUAGUAGUCC
RNAcentral lists this ribosomal RNA (274 nucleotides) under uncultured bacterium. Its description in RNAcentral is "partial 16S ribosomal RNA". It matches the Rfam family "Bacterial small subunit ribosomal RNA", at positions 523 to 796 of the family's 1533-position model. The record is from RNAcentral.